This 253-nucleotide ribosomal RNA is filed under the name uncultured bacterium. Its description in RNAcentral is "partial 16S ribosomal RNA". It matches the Rfam family "Bacterial small subunit ribosomal RNA", at positions 524 to 776 of the family's 1533-position model. The record is from RNAcentral.
UACGAGGGGGGCAAAUGUUGUUCGGAAUCACUGGGCGUAAAGCGCACGUAGGCGGCUUUGUAAGUUAGAGGUGAAAGCCCGGGGCUCAACUCCGGAACUGCCUUUAAGACUGCAUCGCUUGAAUCCAGGAGAGGUGAGUGGAAUUCCGAGUGUAGAGGUGAAAUUCGUAGAUAUUCGGAAGAACACCAGUGGCGAAGGCGGCUCACUGGACUGGUAUUGACGCUGAGGUGCGAAAGCGUGGGGAGCAAACAGG